RNAcentral lists this ribosomal RNA (468 nucleotides) under uncultured bacterium. RNAcentral's name for it is "partial 16S ribosomal RNA". It matches the Rfam family "Bacterial small subunit ribosomal RNA", at positions 28 to 507 of the family's 1533-position model. The record is from RNAcentral.
GACGAACGCUGGCGGCGUGCUUAACACAUGCAAGUCGAACGGAAAGGCCCUGCUUUUGUGGGGUGCUCGAGUGGCGAACGGGUGAGUAACACGUGAGUAACCUGCCCUUGACUUUGGGAUAACUUCAGGAAACUGGGGCUAAUACAGGAUAGGAGCUCCUGCUGCAUGGUGGGGGUUGGAAAGUUUCGGCGGUUGGGGAUGGACUCGCGGCUUAUCAGCUUGUUGGGGGGGUAGUGGCUUACCCAGGCUUUGACGGGUAGUCGGCCUGAGAGGGUGACCGGCGACAUUGGGACUGAGAUAGGGCCCAGACUCCUACGGGUGGCAGCAGUGGGGAAUAUUGCACAAUGGGCGGAAGCCUGAUGCAGCAACCCCGCGUGCGGGAUGACGGCCUUCGGGUUGUAAACCGCUUUCGCCUGUGACGAAGCGUGAUUGACGGUAAUGGGUAAAGAAGCACCGGCUAACUACGUG